This 492-nucleotide ribosomal RNA is filed under the name uncultured bacterium. RNAcentral's name for it is "partial 16S ribosomal RNA". It matches the Rfam family "Bacterial small subunit ribosomal RNA", at positions 29 to 507 of the family's 1533-position model. The record is from RNAcentral.
AGUGAACGCUGGCGGUAUGCCUAACACAUGCAAGUCGAACGGCAGCACAGUAAGAUCUUGCUCUUACGGGUGGCGAGUGGCGGACGGGUGAGGAAUACAUCGGAAUCUACUUUUUCGUGGGGGAUAACGUAGGGAAACUUACGCUAAUACCGCAUACGACCUACGGGUGAAAGCAGUGGAGCUUCGGACCUUUCGCGAUUGAAUGAGCCGAUGUCGGAUUAGCUAGUUGGCGGGGUAAAGGCCCACCAAGGCGACGAUCAGUAGCUGGUCUGAGAGGAUGAUCAGCCACACUGGAACUGAGACACGGUCCAGACUCCUACGGGAGGCAGCAGUGGGGAAUAUUGGACAAUGGGCGAAAGCCUGAUCCAGCAAUACCGCGUGGGUGAAGAAGGCCUUCGGGUUGUAAAGCACUUUUGUUGGGAAAGAAAAGCAGCAGGUUAAUACCCCGCUGUUAUGACGGUACCCAAAGAAUAAGCACCGGCUAACUUCGUG